Molecule: long non-coding RNA, 296 nt
Filed under: Elaeis guineensis (African oil palm)
Lineage: Eukaryota; Viridiplantae; Streptophyta; Magnoliopsida; Arecales; Arecaceae
Description: long non-coding RNA (EGUI_LNC028133)
Source: RNAcentral
AAGCCUCCUCCUAUUCCUUGAGAGUCAAGUCUAAUUUAGGCAUUAAGGGUCCUCCGUCGUAUAUGCUUCGAUAGGUAGACUACCUUGUCUUUAUUGUGUCAGGUCAAACCAGCAUUAGAGCAAUGAUCCAAUCGAAAUCUCCACCAUCCAUCACCAAGUUGGAGACAUGCGGCGUCAGAACUGUUGCCACCUGACCACAGCAUCCACGCACCAAACCGCCAUCAUGAAAGCUCGUAUCGACCCUUAGCCAACAUUUCCAAUCUGGAUGACAGACAAGCCGUAAAUCUUAAAUUGAU